ACCUGGGUGGCUCAGCUGGUUGAGUGUCUGACUUCAGCUCAGGUCAUGAUCUCACGGCUUGUGAGUUCGAGCCCCACAUUGGGUU
Molecule: transfer RNA, 85 nt
Filed under: Felis catus (domestic cat)
Lineage: Eukaryota; Metazoa; Chordata; Mammalia; Carnivora; Felidae
Also listed under: 3 other names
Rfam family: tRNA
About the family: Transfer RNA (tRNA) molecules are approximately 80 nucleotides in length. Their secondary structure includes four short double-helical elements and three loops (D, anti-codon, and T loops). Further hydrogen bonds mediate the characteristic L-shaped molecular structure. tRNAs have two regions of fundamental functional importance: the anti-codon, which is responsible for specific mRNA codon recognition, and the 3' end, to which the tRNAs corresponding amino acid is attached (by aminoacyl-tRNA synthetases). tRNAs cope with the degeneracy of the genetic code in two manners: having more than one tRNA (with a specific anti-codon) for a particular amino acid; and 'wobble' base-pairing, i.e. permitting non-standard base-pairing at the 3rd anti-codon position.
Source: Rfam by way of RNAcentral